UUCACCUUAUUUUCCACGACAACAAGGGCGGCGCCAUUGCGCUCAUUUUGUCAACGUACUUCCGGCUGCAUAUGAUGAGCAGCUGAGGCAGUGGCUGAAGGCGACGCGUUAAACUUAAAAAGCUCACUCAAGCGCCUUUAUGUUUGUUCCUUACCAAUUUUAAUGGACGGGGAGCCGACUGAGGAACACCCUAAUCCCAAGUAAUGGUUCGACUACGAUGUUCCGGUAACUUUAAACCACGCCGGGUGUUGAAAAGGUGGUCAGUUUCAGAUAAACAAAAUCCAGUUACAACUCCGAACCGCUAGAUGGCAGCAGUACACAAACACGGGGCCAAAUCUCACGAGAAAGAUUUCCGCUUUUUGAAAAGCAACAACAUCAGCGAGCAGCCACGAGGAAAGUAUGUACCACACUUGUUUGGUCUUGUGUCAAAGCUGUGCGAAACUGGAGGGAGAAACUUGAGAGACCGUGCCGGAAGAAUGCUGGACAGAGUUCACUAAAAUUCAUUAAUUUCAAAGUUCAACAUGAAUGGUGGUGGUCCACUGCAGAAGCAAGCAUUUGAAAAAACAUCAGUUCUCAGUUAUUAAAGAUGCUGUGUUGAACAACUUCCCAGCAGCAACAGAACUGGAAGUGAAGGAUGCAAUGGGGGCAUUUCAAACAGGCACCAGGGAGCACGGGGGGGGGUAUAGAAAUUAGUACAAUUAAUAAGUUGACGUGAACUGAAGAUAGUUUGUUAAUGUUUAGAUGUUAUUUCAUUUUUGAAAUUGUAUUUUGUUAUAUAUGCUUUUAUUUUGUUACUGUUUUUAUUCUUUUUGUUAAAAGUAGUUUUUCUUCAUUUUGUCUUAUCUGAAUUUCUAUUGUAUUAACAAUAUUUUUUGUAAUAAAUUGCAUGAUUGCAUGUUUAUGAGAACCUUUUUACUGGAUUAAAAAUAAUUCUUUAGCCAUUCUUUUGUUCUUUAUUAGACACACACGUGUAGUCGUUUAAUAGCCGUCUAUUUAACGGCUAGUCUAUUCUUGGGCUAUGAUAGACGUCUACUAGAUUUUCACUGACAGCCCAAAAUUAGCCUUGUUUUAGCCUAGACCCACAUUCACCGUCUAUUAGACGUAUAUAUGUAGACGUUUAAUAGCCGUCUAUUUGAUGACUAGUCUAUUUCUUGGGCUAUGAUAGACGUCUACUAGAUUUUCACUGACAGCCCAGAAUUAGCCUUGUUUUAGCCUAGACGUCAGGGGGGUGUUUAGACGGCUACUAGACGUCUAUUAGCCGCAAAAUUGCUUGCUGGGUUUCCAC
Molecule: non-coding RNA, 1285 nt
Organism: Paramisgurnus dabryanus
Lineage: Eukaryota; Metazoa; Chordata; Actinopteri; Cypriniformes; Cobitidae
Source: RefSeq, a predicted model, not a curated record